This 238-nucleotide unclassified non-coding RNA is filed under the name Hevea brasiliensis (rubber tree). Lineage: Eukaryota; Viridiplantae; Streptophyta; Magnoliopsida; Malpighiales; Euphorbiaceae. The record is from RNAcentral.
CUUUUUGAUCAAAAGGUAUUAAAGUUUGUAGCAUGGUGCAAAUAUUGACAACAAGGCCAUGUGAUGUGCUUGCAAAUGGCAAUAAUUUUGUGGCCAAUGCUGAGGGAGGAAUAUCAAAACUAAGACUUCAUUAACCUCAUACAAAAAAAGUUAUAAAUUCUGCAUCAAUCUUCAUUCAUCAUCAAAAUCAAACCAGAUCUCUGCAAACUCCCAGUUUGACAUUGAUUAUAGUAACCAG